This 468-nucleotide ribosomal RNA is filed under the name uncultured bacterium. Its description in RNAcentral is "partial 16S ribosomal RNA". It matches the Rfam family "Bacterial small subunit ribosomal RNA", at positions 28 to 507 of the family's 1533-position model. The record is from RNAcentral.
GACGAACGCUGGCGGCGUGCUUAACACAUGCAAGUCGAACGGAAAGGCCCUGCUUUUGUGGGGUGCUCGAGUGGCGAACGGGUGAGUAACACGUGAGUAACCUGCCCUUGACUUUGGGAUAACUUCAGGAAACUCGGGCUAAUAUCGGAUAGGAGCUCCUGCUGCAUGGUGGGGGUUGGAAAAUGUCGGCGGUUGGGGAUGGACUCGCGGGUUACCCGCUUGUUGGUGGGGUAGUGGCGUACCAAGGGUUUGACGGGUAGCCGGCCUGAGAGGGUGACCGGCCACAUUGGGACUAAGGUACGGCCCAGACUCCUACGGGAGGCAGCAGGGGGGAAUAUUGCACAAUGGGCGGGAGCCUGAUGCAGCAACGCCGCGUGCGGGAUGACGGCCUUCGGGUUAUAAACCGCUUUCGCCUGUGACGAAGCGUUAGUGACGGUAAUGGGUAAAGAAGCACCGGCUAACUACGUG